Molecule: long non-coding RNA, 499 nt
Filed under: Phoenix dactylifera (date palm)
Lineage: Eukaryota; Viridiplantae; Streptophyta; Magnoliopsida; Arecales; Arecaceae
Description: long non-coding RNA (PDAC_LNC014859)
Source: RNAcentral
AGUGCAAUACAACUCAAUAUACCACUAAAAAGGCUCUACAAAUCUUUGAAAUAGAGGAAAUGAAAUCAAUUUACAAAAGAAGUCAUUUCACAAUUCAGAUCCAAUUUGAUUACUCAUCAACCCCUCGAAAUUCCUCUCAAUGUUUCCUCAAAUGCAUGUACAGAAUAAUCAAGCAUGGAGAAUCAAGAUUAUAGAGGAAUCUACUACAAUAUCAAUCAAUAUGCUCAAGUGGAAUCAAUUCACACUUGGCGACAUUCAUGAAAAUGAAUUAAGAAAGCUCAUGGUGCAAAGUACAUGACUCCCACUCACCUGCCAAUCCGGCACAGCCUUGAUACGCCUCUAGAAUUUUACAGUAGGCAGCAGGGGACUUCUUCCUCUUGUUCCCUAGCUUCUUGCCCAACUGUGACAUGCAUUUACCAUACAUUUAGUCUUGUAUCAAGGUCAUAAUCUACGUGCCAAUUAUAAUAUAGGGAACUUUAAUUGAUUCAACUCCCCCGUU